AUACGGAGGAUGCGAGCGUUAUCCGGAUUUAUUGGGUUUAAAGGGAGCGUAGGUGGAAUAUUAAGUCAGCUGUGAAAGUUUGGGGCUCAACCUUAAAAUUGCAGUUGAUACUGGUUUCCUUGAGUACGGUACAGGUGGGCGGAAUUCGUGGUGUAGCGGUGAAAUGCUUAGAUAUCACGAAGAACUCCGAUCGCGAAGGCAGCUCACCGGGCCGGAACUGACACUGAUGCUCGAAAGUGCGGGUAUCAAACAGGAUUAGAUACCCUGGUAGUCCGCACAGUAAACGAUGAAUACUCGCUGUUUGCGAUACACGGUAAGCGGCCAAGCGAAAGCGUUAAGUAUUCCACCUGGGGAGUACGCCGGCAACGGUGAAACUCAAAUGAAUUGACGGGG
This 393-nucleotide ribosomal RNA is filed under the name uncultured bacterium. Its description in RNAcentral is "partial 16S ribosomal RNA". It matches the Rfam family "Bacterial small subunit ribosomal RNA", at positions 523 to 918 of the family's 1533-position model. The record is from RNAcentral.